Long non-coding RNA from Daucus carota subsp. sativus, 1013 nucleotides. RefSeq lists it as uncharacterized. The transcript is spliced from 2 exons. Lineage: Eukaryota; Viridiplantae; Streptophyta; Magnoliopsida; Apiales; Apiaceae. The record is from RefSeq and is a predicted model, not a curated record.
ACCUCAAGAUUUUAAUGGAUUUCAAACAAUCCCAAUUGAAUAUCCUCGGAUUUCAUGAAUGCAAAAAAAUGAUUUAAAAUCCCAAUCCAAUACACACCUCUAAAUUGAGAACCUGGCUCUCGGGACAAAAAUAUAAAACAGAGAGACGAGAGGGAGUUUGGGAGAUUAGGAGUGGAGCUCUGGACUUCUGGGGAGAUUGAUAAUCACAGCUGUCGCAUCAAUCAUCAAUUCAUCAUCCAAUUUUCUUCUAUCUAAGAUUCUUCUGGGCUUACUUUCUUUCUACUAAAAAAAAAUAAUACAGGAAAGCCUCACAAGUUUAAUCCGGAUUGGUCUGGAGAAUUUCAUGAUUGGUUGGAGUAUAGUGAAAGUAAAGAUGCUGUCUUUUGUCUAUUUUGUUACUUUUUUAAUAUCGAAUUAGGUGAUCAUAGAUUUAAUCAUGACUCAUUUGUUAGGGAAGGCUUUCGAAAUUGGAAAAAGAAAGAUAGGCUUAAAAAGCAUAUUGAUGAACAUCAUAGUAGUCACAGGAAAUGCAAGAAAGCUUGUGAGGAUUUACUAAAACAAAAACAACAUGUUGAUAUUAUGAUAGCCGGAAUUUCAGCUCAAGCUAAGGCUAACUACCGAACUCGGCUUAAUGCAUCAAUGGAAUGUGUAAGAUUGCUUUUAAUGCAAGCAUUGCCAUUUCGUGGUCAUGAUGAGUCGGAGGAUUCAAAAAAUCAAGAAGCAUUGCCAUUGGUUUUAAUUUCUCAAGGCACUUUGGAAACCGGAAGAGGCAUGAAUCAAGAAGUUACUUUAAAACGUCCGGGAGAAAUACGUUGGAGUUCACACUAUAAUACUAUUAUUAGUGUGAUUUCUCUUUUUUCUUCUACACUUGAAGUGCUGGAAGAAAUGAAAAAAAUUGCCAUCAUUUGCAAUUCACAAAGGUGAAAUAAGUCGCCUUAUUGAAAUUAUGGGUGAAUAUGAAUUUGCAUUCUUGCUCUUUUUUAUGAGAAAUGUGUUGGCAAUUACUAAUGAUC